Molecule: small nuclear RNA, 135 nt
Filed under: Cebus imitator (Panamanian white-faced capuchin)
Lineage: Eukaryota; Metazoa; Chordata; Mammalia; Primates; Cebidae
Description: U1 spliceosomal RNA (ENSCCAG00000010290.1)
Rfam family: U1 spliceosomal RNA
About the family: U1 is a small nuclear RNA (snRNA) component of the spliceosome (involved in pre-mRNA splicing). Its 5' end forms complementary base pairs with the 5' splice junction, thus defining the 5' donor site of an intron.
Source: Rfam by way of RNAcentral
AUGCUUACCUGGCAGGGGAGAUACCAUUAUCGCGAAGGGGUUUUCCCAGGGCGAGGCUUAUCCAUCGCACUCCAGAUGUGGGAAACUCGACUGCAUAAUUUGAGGCAGUGGGGGACGUGUUUGUGCUUUCCCCUG